UGGAGAGGGCAGAAAACUCUCCGCCUCCACCCUUCGAAACCCUUUGGCGGAAGAGAGGAGAGGAGGAAACCUCGGCGGAGCUUUCCCUAAUCGUCCUCUUCCCAGGUACCGCCUUUUUGAAAAGGAGAGGGAAGGGAAAUUCAAACAGCAGCAUCAGACAUGGUUUAAGUUCAUAGCCGUUUCCUUUUUUAAUGGAAAUUCCCUUAUUCCGAAUAGGAUUCCUCGCAAGAAAAGGGAAAAGUUGACAGCUAUGUUUAAGCUGCUAACACCAGCCUCCACAGCUACAUGCCUAGAAAUAAACCUUCCCUGUUAAACACACGUGGUGGUGAUGAACGACAGGGGUAUAGAUGGCUUUAGAAACGGAUGGGACAAACUGAAAUGGGAGUUUGGAGGGGGGUCUAUCAAGGGUUAUUUGUUUUUAUUUCUAAAAAUAAUGUGUGCCGUCUAGGGUUUGGAAUCAGAAAACUGGAGCACUUGAGGGUUUACGUUCCUCGUUUAAACUGUGUGUACCCUACCACUGCAUCAACUGAGCCACAUCCCUUGAUUUCAGGGAAUCUACUUUGGGCAUAAUACUUCGUUGGAUACAAGCCAAUGCAUUUAGGGUCAGGUUUCAAAAUUUAAAUCAGGAUCUGUUUUAACUUUCCCCCCCUCUAAGUUACAAUCUGUGAAGGUGCACUCCACACUUGGGGCAAGCCUACCUUGGGGGGGGGGUCCUCCUACCCCCCACAUCGACACCAGAGAGCAACCCGUCCUCCUAGGGGCUCCGACUGGGACCUAGAGGGGUGGGACAAACUGUAAUGCUUGGGACAAAUCCUGCCAACACCUGCAGUCUGGCCAAGGAACCCAGAGAGCAGAACUCAUUGGAAUGUAAGGGAGCAGCUUUUAUGAAUUUGUUUAAGAACAUCAGAGGGGACCAGCUGGAUCAAGUCAAAGCCAAAUCUUGGUCAAUAAUCCCUUGCUUGCAGCAGCCAACCUGGUGGUCCAGGCAUAGGAAGCUACCCUACACUGAAUCAGACCAUUUGUCUGUCUUGCUCAAUACUGUCUACACUCGUGGUUCAAAGAAUAAAUAAAUAAUUUCCCACUAACUACUCUGAAGUUGCUGAGGGGCUUGGCGAAUUGCUUCAUGCGUGUUGUAGCCAUGUAAUGUGCUAUGCUAGGUGCUGUAUGAUUUUUAAUGGCAUUUUCUCCUUAUAUAAUUGUAUUUUAGUCUAUUCCGCAGUACAAGAAAUAACGAAACCACAGAAACACAAUUUAAAAUAUACUGUGAAUAUUUAAUGUGAUGGAUGUGCCGUCCUCCCAUUGUCAACCACAAGUCCACAUGCAUGUCACAGACCACCUGAAUGAAGUAUGCGGACCACUGGUAGUCCAUAGACCACAGUCUGCAAACUCCUGGUCGACAAUGACUCAAAGCGGCUCUCCAGGAUUUCAGACAGGGUUCUCUCCAAGCCUUACCUGAAGAAACCGGGGAUUGAACCUGGAGCAUUCACAAUGCAAAACAGAUUUUUCAACUCUGAGCUGCAGCCCCUCCUUCUCUGGGAAGCACAAUAAGCAGUGCCUUAAUGGGCAAUACAGUGGUACCUCGGGUUAAGUACUUAAUUCGUCCCAGAGGUCCGUUCUUAACCUGAAACUGUUCUUAACCUGAAGCACCACUUUAGCUAAUGGGGCCUCCUGCUGCCACCGCGCCGCCAGAGCACGAUUUCUGUUCUCAUCCUGAAGCAAAGUUCUUAACCUGAAGCAAUAUUUUUGGGUUAGCGGAGUGUGUAACCUGAAGCGUAUGUAACCCGAGGUACCACUGUACCCUAAUGCAAGGAUGUCUUCCAUUUAUUUUUCUUUCUUUUUUACACACACAAACACACAGCAUCCUACAUCAGUGCAGCAGAGGGCCCGUACAGCAAUCAGAGGGCUGAACUAAGUUUGGAGAUCUAUCAGGAUAGUCACAAACAGGGAAUGAAGGCCAUUCCUCUCUGCUGCUGCUGCUGAUCCCCAGCAGUGGGUCAUCAGAGACUGCCUCUGAAUGUGGAGGUUCCAUUUGAUUCAGUUAGCAUAGUACAGACAGCCUUCACGCGUGUUUCAUCCGCUUUUCCUUUCCACUGCCACAGCCCCCCACAUCAAAUUCCACACAUUAAUUAGGUGCCAUAUUUAAAACUACCCAUUCGCACACCAGUUUCCGUCUGGCACUCUGUAAAGAUAACUGGUGCUACAUGUGAAGCAGGCGCAAUAAAAAGAAAGCUUCCCUCAGAGGAACUGAGAGAUCAAUAGAAUCAUCACCGUAUCCCAUUACACACACUCUGCAGGUUGGUACAAUUGAGGCUUGUAAGCAGCCACCUGCUGGUCUGCCCGUUAUGAGGCAGAAGCCAAUAAUAUAAAACAUUCUAAAAUAUAGCAGCCUUCGCCAACUUGGCGCCCUCCAGAUUGGCGAAGCGCGUUUUUACAAGCGGUUGAUGCACCUUUAAACAGCAUACACUAGAAGGCUUGACAGCUGGGCUACCAAAGUCAUUUGCAUGUUAUUCACUUUGGAUAUCUUUGUCUAACGUUGCUGUUUUAGGAGGAAGCUUGGCUGGUUCCAAGGAACAGUGGCCUUGAUGCAUCUAGAACUAACACAUAAUCUUAAGAAUCAGAGAGGGACCAACAAGUGAAACUCAAGGCGUGUUCCACAGCAAAACAAAACAAGCCACAGAGCUCUUUACCAUUUAGCCCACUAAGAGCAGGAACAACUGAGGCACAUGGCCAACACCAAGGGGGAUUAGAGACUGCAGUCAGUAUCUGUUUGGGAAUCUCACACAAGCCACUCAGAGUUCCUCAGAGGAAAAGCAAGAUGGAGAAGAAAGUUCAAGCUGACACAUGAGCAAGCCAACAUGGAGAAAGGGUGUCCCUACCCACAGUGUGGUCCAUGUCCAAUCACACUGGGAAAUAACUCUGUAGGAUUUCUCCCCUGAUUCUCCUCUUCCACCAUUUCAGCUUGCUUGUUCACGCACCUCUUGCUCUGGCCAGAGAGGAUAAGCAAUCAGGAACAUUUCAAGCUCUCCAUAUUCCUACCAGCCUACCUCCGAAGUGAAAUGGAAAUAGGAACAGAAAGCUACACAUUUCAGCAACAGACGGAAAACCCCAAGGCUCUCCAUGCAGUGGGAUGAACACUGAGAACCAAUCAGUCAUUACUACCACCCUAGACUAUUUAUAGUCACCAGCAAAGAGGCCAGUCAAGUCCGCACCCGGGAGGAAGCAACACAUAAUAAGAGUUAACACAUCUGAGAGGUGAGGGGAGACCUAUUAAGCAAAUGAUUUUUGGUGAGCAACACACACUGAGAUUCAGAGAGGAAGGUGGAAAGAAAAGGCACCCCCCUUUUUUGCUUUUAAUGUUAUUGCAGAG
RNAcentral lists this long non-coding RNA (3367 nucleotides) under Podarcis lilfordi (Lilford's wall lizard). The record is from RNAcentral. Lineage: Eukaryota; Metazoa; Chordata; Lepidosauria; Squamata; Lacertidae.